RNAcentral lists this unclassified non-coding RNA (348 nucleotides) under soil metagenome. Its description in RNAcentral is "partial contains 5.8S ribosomal RNA, internal transcribed spacer 2, and large subunit ribosomal RNA". The stretch from base 1 to 120 matches the Rfam family "5.8S ribosomal RNA", at positions 35 to 154 of the family's 154-position model. The record is from RNAcentral.
GAUGAAGAACGUAGCGAAAUGCGAUAAGUAAUGUGAAUUGCAGAAUUCAGUGAAUCUUCGAGUCUUUGAACGCACAUUGCGCCCCCUGGUAUUCCGGGGGGCAUGCCUGUCCGAGCGUCAUUGCUGCCCUCAAGCACGGCUUGUGUGUUGGGCCCCCGUCCCCGGUUUCCCCCGGGGACGGGCCCGAAAGGCAGCGGCGGCACCGCGUCCGGUCCUCGAGCGUAUGGGGCUUUGUCACCCGCUCUGUAGGCCCGGCCGGCGCCAGCCGACACCCAACUUUAUUUCUAAGGUUGACCUCGGAUCAGGUAGGGAUACCCGCUGAACUUAAGCAUAUCAAUAAGCGGAGGA